AUGGGUCUAGUCUCAAGUGCCCUCGAAUGGUGGGAGGAGUGGCAGCUGCGUGUCCUUGUGCUCGGCAGCCUGUGUGUCCAGUUUUUGCUCUUCUUCUCCAUAUGGGUGCGUCGAGUCCCUGGCCUACGCAGGCUGAGAGCGGUGGUGUGGAUGGCGUACAUUGGAGGCGACGCCCUGGCCAUCUACGCUCUUGCCAUCCUCUUCAACCGCCAUAAGGAGCGUACGCCGUCGACGACGACACUUGUGGUUGGUGAGGGCAGGAGCGCAGGCGACCUGGAGAUCGUAUGGGCGCCUGUUCUCCUCAUCCACCUUGGUGGCCAUGUAACAUUGAGUGCCUUCAGCCUCGAGGACAAUGAGUUGUGGCUUCGACAUGUCAUAACUCUUGGGUCUCAGGUCACGGUCUCCUUGUACGUCCUCUGCAAGUGGUGGUCCGGCCAGCAGAGAUUGCUGCUGGCCGCGGUGGUGCUCUUCAUCUUUGGCAUCCUCAAGUUGAUGCUUAAGCCAUGGGCUCUGAGAAGAGCUAGCUAUAGUCAUAUGCUGGCUUCCACCGACGUGUCCCUGCAAAGAGCAGAACAAGGAAGUAGCUGUUUUGCGUGGUUGACAUGCUGCACUUCCAAUACCUCAACCAAGAAAGAAGGCGAUGGAGCAGGGGAGUGUGCCCUUUCCCUUGAUGAAUAUGUGCGACAAGCAAAGAAGAUCUGUGAUCAACAAGUCGGUGAACCCACAGUGAAGAAGGAGGCAAAGAUGGCAAUCAGAUACACGGAUUACUUUGUGGACCUGUCCGCUCCAUAUAGUGGUCUGCGAUGUCUCCAGAAUCUGCGAUGUCUCCAGAAUCUGCGUCCUCCUCCUCCCCACCAAGACAAGAAAAAGAACAACAACAAGAAGAAGAAUGCAUCAUACGAGAUGCUGCAAAAGUGCUUUGAAGAUACAUUCGAUCUCCUGUACACCAGAGUGGGAUUCACCCGCAUUGAGAGUCUGUUGGUGGUUCUGCUUCCCUUGCUGGCUUUGGCAUCCGUGGUCCUCUUCGCCACGAGCCACAAGCUGGGCUAUAGCAGCAGGGACAUCAAGGUGACCUACAUCCUCUUUGCUUGCACUACUAUGGUCGAGUUCUUACUGCCCCUGUGCGGCAUUAUUUUACCGUGUAUCCCUUGCCUAAAUUUCCUCAUCGACGGAUGGCAUGACAUGGUUUCCCAGUACAACCUCAUGUCGUUCUAUGUUCGCAAGAAGAAACCCACCUUCCUGAUGAAGCUCGCUUUCUUCCAAGGUCUAAGGGACUAUGUUAGCAAGGUUUGGUAUAUAAGGCAGGUACCCGCUGCCUGCCAGAUCACGGAGCUGAUUCAAGGACACAUAGAAGACGGAUGGAAGACGUCCAUAAGUGAUGCCGUGGGAUACAGGAGGUUCAGCGAUCUUAGAGGCGAGCUGGCUCUAAAGAAGUACCAACAUAAGCUUGGCCUUGGACACAAGGCAUUGUGGGAUAGUUUGAUUGUGCCCUUGGACAAGAGUGUCCUUCCUUGGCACAUCGCCACAAACCUCUGCUUUCACAGCCCAGAGGCCAAGGUAUCCUCCUCCCCUCGAGGACAGAGACAGACCAAUCUUAGUAGGAACAUGUCUGACUAUAUGUUGUACCUACUUUCGACCCAUGCUGAGAUGUUGUUGCCCGGCACCAGACCGGGUCUCUUCACCGUCGCCACAUAUGAUCUAGACGACAUCUUGAAGAACAGCGAGGCAAAGCUCGAGAAUGAAGAAGCAAUUGCUCGAGAGAUUCUUAAGCACAAGAACGGUAGUACUGUGAUUCAUCAAGCGUGCGGGCUCGCCGAGUCACUGAUGGAGCUGCGUGAAGAGGACAAGUGGGCGAUAAUACAGGGCGUGUGGGUCGAGAUGCUCUGCUACUCCGCAAGUAGAUGCAGAGGUUUCCUGCAUGCCAAGAGCCUGGGUGCAGGCGGGGAGUACCUCUCCUAUGUCUGGCUCCUCUGGUCAUACAUGGGGAUGCAGACCUUGGCAGACAAGAUCCAAAAGCCUGAGUCUCCGUCAGAAAAGGAAAUCCUUGCUGCGGCCCAUGAAUUGCCUUCUCCAUGUCAGAGCGCGUCCGUGCGACACGACCACCUCGCGUGCAGCCGUGCAGGACUGGGAGGCGCCAGAUCCGGGCCAACGCCGCCGCGCGAUCCCAAGAGCUCUGACCAACGGAAGCAGCCGCGGGACCCUUCACUCCGGUCCCAUGUCCAUCGCCGAGGUUGGGUUGGGGUGGACAGAAGGGAGGGCGGUCGACGGGCGAACUGGGGAUUGGGGAUGAACUGCUACGCUGGCAACUGCUCCAGUUCUCGUACACGGACCGAACAGAGGUAA
This 2343-nucleotide ribosomal RNA is filed under the name Triticum aestivum (bread wheat). Its description in RNAcentral is "partial small subunit ribosomal RNA". Lineage: Eukaryota; Viridiplantae; Streptophyta; Magnoliopsida; Poales; Poaceae. The record is from RNAcentral.